Molecule: transfer RNA, 72 nt
Filed under: Calotes emma
Lineage: Eukaryota; Metazoa; Chordata; Lepidosauria; Squamata; Agamidae
Description: tRNA-Leu
Source: RNAcentral
CCUUUUAAAGGAUACACAGAAAUCCGUCGCCCUUAGAAGGCGAUACUCUUGGUGCAACUCCAAGUAAAAGUA